GCAUGCAAGUCGUACGCGAAAGGGUCCUUCGGGGCCUGAGUAGAGUGGCGAACUGGUGAGUACAAGGUGAAUGACGUGCCUCGAAGUGGGGGAUAACUUCGCGAAAGCGGAGCUAAUACCGCAUGGUCUUUCUUAUUUAAGGAUGGGAAAGUAAAGCAGCAAUGCGCUUUGAGAUCGGUUCACCUCCCAUUAGCUUGUUGGUGGGGUAACGGCCCACCAAGGCUGCGAUGGGUAGCUGGUCUGAGAGGAUGGUCAGCCACACUGGGACUGAGAUACGGCCCAGACUCCUACGGGGGGCAGCAGUCUAGAGGCUUCGACAAUGCCCGAAAGGGUGAUCGAGCGACGCCGCGUGCGGGAUGAAGGGCUUCGGCUUGUAAACCGCUUUUCCUUGGGAAGAAGGUCCUGUUCGUGAAACAGGAAUUGACGGUACCAGGGGAAUAAGCCCCGGCUAACUCCGUGCCAGCAGCCGCGGUAAGACGGAGGGGGCAAGCGUUGUUCGGAAUUAUUGGGCGUAAAGGGCUCGUAGGCGGAUCCGCCAGUUUGACGUGAAAUCUCCACCGCUCACCGGGGGAGAGGUCGUUGAAUACUACGGAUCUGGAGUUCGGCAGAGGACCAUGGAAUUUCGGGUGUAGCGGUGGAAUGCGUAGAUAUCCGAAAGAACACCGGUGGCGAAAGCGGUGGUCUGGGCCUGAACUGACGCUGAGAGCGAAAGCCAGGGGAGCAA
Molecule: ribosomal RNA, 724 nt
Filed under: uncultured bacterium
Lineage: Bacteria
Description: bacterial SSU rRNA
Rfam family: Bacterial small subunit ribosomal RNA
Source: RNAcentral